RNAcentral lists this long non-coding RNA (4477 nucleotides) under Homo sapiens (human). RNAcentral describes it as "HSALNT0334134". Lineage: Eukaryota; Metazoa; Chordata; Mammalia; Primates; Hominidae. The record is from RNAcentral.
UUAGUAUAAAUUCUUUAGGUUCCUUUUUCUUGCUUGGAUCGGAAUCAUCUGAAAGGGCUCAGGAGCCAGCUGUCGCUCUGUGUUUUUUGCUACUGAGUCACUGUUUCUGACAAGCCUCUCCUGAGUGUGGGCCCUCAUUUCCUUGUCUAGAGUGGGGUUGAGCAAUGUGAUUUCUAAGGUUCCUUCUGGCUCUGACAUUCUGUGUGCCUUUGUUCCACACCCUUUUUCAGUGAUGCCAGUGCCAGGGGGUACAGCCUCAGGGAUGUAUAACAGGGUUUUCCUCCACAAAACUGGCAGAAUUGUUCUGGGUUCUUAUUUGAAAAUGUGGCAUGUGGCCUCUCAUCAGUGCUUUGGCCAUUUUGCAUGCACUAACUCACAGAGAAUGCAGGCUACACCCCAGCUGGUGAGCAUCACCAUCAUCUCUAUGCCCACUGGCUUUCUGUUUGGCUGGAGGGAAGCUGAGGACAAGAGGAUGUUAGGUUGGAGCACAGGGAGGCCUGUGGAAGGCAGGGACGGUGUAGAGUCUGGCCCAGCUGAAAAUGGGCUUGGGGAGCCUGGCCAGUCCUUCAGGUCCAUCUGGGCAAACCUAGUCUUCAAAGGGCAGAGUCACAAGGACCUCAAAUGCUACUUACCUCCUCCAGUACUAACAUUUGACACAUCUAAUGCCUAUUCAUUGUUGUGAAGUUCAAAUGAGGUAACUCAUGAGGAAGUGCCCACAAAACUAAACACUUAUGACACACUCUCAAACACACUCUCAAACAAUAAGAAUUACUAUCAUGAGCUGCCUGACUCCACAAGAUUUUAGUGCUAGGUGCUAGGGACAGAAAAGUGAAAAAAAGAUGCUCAGUUAAUUAGCAUACAAUGUGAUGCUACCUCUAACAAUAGACUUUGGAUGAUGUCUUAGUUCAAGCUGCUCUAACAAAAUACCAUAGAUUGGGUGACUUACACAGCAAACGCUUAUUUCUCACAGUUCUGGAGGCCGGAAAGUCAAGAUCCAGGCACUGGCAGAUUUGACGUCUGGUGGUUCAGCCUUCUCACUGUGUCCUCACAUGGCAGAUGGGAUGAGACAGCUCUCUGGGGUCUCUUUUAUAAGGGCAUGAAUCCCGUUCAGGGGAGCUCCACCCUCAUGACCUAAUCAUAUCCCGAAGGCCCCGCCUACACAUAGCAUCAGAUAGGGAAUUCUGCCUCAACCUAUGAAUUUUGAGAGGACACACACAUUCAGUCCAUAGCAACGGGCAAAGCUUGUGAGAGCACAGAGGAAGGAGUUUUUAAUGUUCAACACUCUGCUCGUGGGGGUGGAAGCCUCCAUAGCAGCACUGACAGUUUAACCUGGUCUGGAAAGAUGGCAAAGACUGCACAGGUGGAGGGAAUGGGCAUCCUAGCCUGAGUGAGUGGCAGCGUGCUGGAGAGGCUUAUGGAAACCUCUGGUAAUCUGGCCUGGUGGCUGGGUGGGGUGGGUGGGACCAUGUGGGGGAAGCUGCGGAGGGAGCUGGUGAUCAAAUUAGGAAAGGUCUUGGAUAAUCUAUGAGGAGCCUGGACUUCGCUGAAUUUUUCAGUUACCAGGUUUUAAAAAACUUUUUAUUUCAGUUUUUGGCUGAAAGAAGAAGCUAUUAUUUUAAUUUUAUUUAAAACCUGCCUGUGGAUCUAUAAUAGGCAAAACUUAACUCAAAUAGAUUUAAUCAUAGCCUUGCUGCACUGUCCUGUUAAUUUUGCUACUCUCCUUCCUCUUAGAGCUUCCACGUAGAAUACAUUUAUCUUCUCGCUCUAGUCUCGUCUUGAUUGAAAUAUUGGAGUGAGAGAUAGAAGGUGGGAUCUUUAUUUUUUUUUCUCUGUAUACAGAAUAAUGCCUAUUUUAGAAUGUGGAAAAUACUAAAAACUAUAAAGAUGAAAAAAGAAAUUUACCCUCUGGACAAGGUUGGUAGAAGAUGAGUGGUUGAGCUCCAGUAGAAUCAGUUUUGUUCAAAUCCUAAUUUUUUCACAUAUUACCUGUAAGACCUUGGCAAUUUACUAUCUCCAGGCCUCAGUUUCCUCAUCUGUAAAAUGGGAAUAAUAAUCACAAUACCUACCUCCUAAAGUUCCUAUUGGGACUAAAUCAUUUUCUUCAUGCAAAGCACUUAGGAAAGUGCUGUGUACAUAGCAAAUAAUUAAUAUUUCUUAUGGGUUAUUGCAACACCCUCUGGGUGAGUUCAGCCCUAGAGGAAAGUAGGUGAGUUCCCUUGGGGAAGGGUCUUUCUGCCUCCAUGUUCUACAUCAGGAAAGUGGAGAAGCUUGUCAUACCACAGGAUGAGGCUAGUGCCGAGUCACAGACUGGUGUGUGUUCAGAGUUUUUCCCUGGAGGAUGCUAGCUUAUCCUCCCUUGCUCCUUCCUUUCUAGCAUUUCCACCCACCUCGGGCUCUUGGGGCAGGCUGUCCCUUUAAGAAAGAGAGCCACACAUUCUGCUCCUGACAGUGGCCCUGCCUCCCUUGCUAGAUACCUUGCUGGGCUGUGGUUGGGACACUCCUGGGCUGGAUUUUAGUACUGAAGCCUCCAGAGGAGGGGGCACUGCUUCAAAUCAAGCACACCCCACCCCAGGAAUCCAUGCCCACAGAAGGACUCCCUGUCUGCAGCCCCCUGCUGUGGCCCUGGGCUCCCAGCACCCAGCUCUGGGACAUCAGAAGAUAAUUCUUGAGGACUGAGCUCAGGAUUCCUAAAAAGAAAGUUGGAAAAUAGCUGGAUAAACUUGGUAAGUGAAAGAAAGCCGCGUUACAUCCUCUUCCUUGGAUUGUGGAUUGCAGAUUUUGGGUUGAGUUCUGGUGACUCUUGCCAGUGGUAUCUGAUGGGCAAAUGUGAGAAGGAGGAGACAGAGGUGGGGACUGGGAUCCCCAGUGGGUAGCGAGUCUUGAACUUGGGGAUAGCCCCCCACCUUAUCCUGGUGGUUGUCAACCUUGAGGCAGGGAGCUGGGGGUUGACAUCUGAACAUAGCUGGAGCCUGGCCCAAGGAGUGAAGAUCCGGGAGGGGCAGAUGUCAGAUUUCUCCCUCAUUUGGGAAAAACAAAGUGUGGUCAGUGAGUGCUGUUUGUGAAGAUGCCAGAGACCAGUGACAUUUGCAGCCUGAGGGUGAAAUGAGUGACCCUGUGAGUGUAUCUCAGGAGGAGACUUGGACCAAUUCCUCUUCUUCCUAUAGGGUCAGGGGACAGACCAGGCCUGGGCCCCAAGAAAUCUGCGUUGUCUCCUUGGAUUGAGGCAGCUGCCCAUGAGCAGCAGCGGACAGUGUCGUAGUGGGAGGAGGCAGGUCUGCCAAGGGCAGGGAAGAAUGGAGGGCCUGUUACUGCUGAAGCCUGGGAACGCUGCCUGGGGGGAGGCCCACGCUCCCCAGAGCUGGAGUGAGAAGGAAUGGGAGGAGAAGUCUAUGCAGCAGGGGGAUGGGCUCAGCCAGCAUCCCCACCCUCUGCAGAGCAAAUGCCCCCGUCCCAUUUCCUGUGGCAUGGACACAGGUGAGCUUCCUGGCCUUGAAUGCUCAGGUACAGUUUGGAGGGCUGGGGUCUGUUACAAAGAGGUGGCCUCCCAUGGAGGAAGCAGGAAAUGCUAGAAGCCUCAGCCCCUGGCACUCACCCGAGGGUUUCCAAAUCAGAGACACUUUCUGCUAAAUUAUGCUUCAACAGAUGUUUUCUGUGUUCCUACUUGUGCCAGGCUUUGUGCUGGGGAUUUACCAAAAUAUAAUAUGGCAUGGUGGAAUUGGGAAGGUGUGCAGAGCUGGAAAGAUAUUUUGGAUGUGAGAUUAAAGCCAUUUUUGAAAAGUAACAAUAAUAGUUACCAUUUAUUCUGUACCUUGAAUGCACCAAUCACUCUGCUAAAGGCUUUGCAUCUCCUUUAAUUCUUGCAGUAGUUUAUUGACUUGUGACUAAUUUUGUAGAUUUCAAAGAUUAAGAAACUAAGGCUCAGAGAUUAAGGACCUUUCCUUAAAGAUGCAGGGCUGGUAAAUGGCAAAGCCAGGAUGAACCUCUUAAGUCGUCUAACCAUUUAUUCAUUUGUGUGUUCAACAAAGUUGAAUUGCUGGCCUACUGUGUGACAGCCAUUGUAGAGGGCACUCAGGACACAGCUGGGACAGGGAAGGGUCCAGGGCAGCCUAACUCCAUAGCCUGGGUCCUCACCCCCAGCCAGAGCCCUUCACACUGGGCCCCAGAGACCCCUGGGAACAUUGUGUGAUUGUUUUCUCCAAGGUCUGAGACUCUGCUUGAGAAUGUGCUUUUCCUUGAGAAAUGUUUCUUUGUUUUCAUUUUAAUAAUAAUACUGUAAAAAUUGGAGGCAUUUAUUCUGAAUCAUCUGAAUGACCACCAUAUAACCUACUAUUGGCAUGCGAUUUUAGUCCCCAGGUUUGUGUUUCUGUGCAAGUUGGCACCGAGUGGUUUCCUAAAAUGAUAGUUUUUAACUUUCAAUGCUUUGUUUCUCAAACUGGGCUCUACACUGUGUGCUUCAAAGGCCCAAAGAUUAAGAAAG